Molecule: non-coding RNA, 81 nt
Organism: Gossypium raimondii (Peruvian cotton)
Lineage: Eukaryota; Viridiplantae; Streptophyta; Magnoliopsida; Malvales; Malvaceae
Source: the annotation of a RefSeq genome assembly
CUUCAAGGCAUAAUAUUGAGAAUGCUCAUUGAAUUGGAAUAAGUUCGGCAGCGGAUCACGAGAUCUUGGUGAUCUUCUCUA